This 397-nucleotide ribosomal RNA is filed under the name uncultured bacterium. Its description in RNAcentral is "partial 16S ribosomal RNA". It matches the Rfam family "Bacterial small subunit ribosomal RNA", at positions 338 to 732 of the family's 1533-position model. The record is from RNAcentral.
CCUACGGGUGGCAGCAGUGGGGAAUAUUGCUCAAUGGGGGUAACCCUGACGCAGCCAAGCCGCGUGAGUGAAGAAUGCCCUAGGGGUUUUAAGCCUCUUUUGUCAGGGAGAAAUUGUCGCUACGUGUAGCGUUAUCGAGAGUACCUGAAGACAGAGCAUCGGCUGACUCCGUGCCAGCAGCCGCGCUAAUACGGAGGAUGCGAGCGUAAUCCGGAUUGAUUGGGUGUACGGGCUGCGUCGGCGGAAUGCAACGUCAGCGGGAAAACCACGGGGCUAAACCUCGCUCUGCCGUUGAUACUGGCGUGCUUGAGUGGGCGAGAGGUAGGCGGAAUGCGUGGUGUAGCGGUGAAAUGCAUAGAUAUCAGGAAGAAUUCCGAUGGCGAAGGCAGCAUAUUGG